This is a small nuclear RNA of Erinaceus europaeus (western European hedgehog), 107 nucleotides long. The record is from Ensembl. Lineage: Eukaryota; Metazoa; Chordata; Mammalia; Eulipotyphla; Erinaceidae.
GUGCUUGUUUAAGCAAUACAUAUAUUAAAUUAGAAAUAUACAGAGAAGACCAACAUGGCCCCUGAACAAAGGAUGACAUGCAAAUCCGUGAGGCAUUCUUUAUUUGA